CUUACUUCCUGCACAGAGGCAGAUGCUACAGGAAGGCAGAAAUUGCGCCAAAAUUUGAAUGAGAAUAAACUACUGAUUUUACGAUGUGAGGAGAGAGGCCAUAUUGUGAAAAGAGCUCACUUCACCUUAGCUGUUUUCGCAAUAGAAAUGCUAUCACUAGAUGAUGUCCACUCAAUACAAUAACACGGUGUGGUGUAUGAUUGUUGUACAAAGUUUGCGUAGAAGUGGAAGACUACAAGCUUAUCGGUACGACUUACAGAUUGCAGAGAACUUGAUCAAACGCCUUCAUGCAAUUAUUCCUUGAUGGGAACUUGUGACAUCAUGCCAAGUGAUGCUAAAGUUAACAGAUCUACAGCACCAGUUGACAUACAGCCAACACAACAGUAUCUAGUUCAUUGUCAAAAGAAAUGUUUCUGUGCCUCCUUUGUUAAAAAGAUCUAGCAAUGUGACGAGAGAGGCCAUAAAGUACAAAAAGCGCUCUUCAACUGUGUCUGCUGAAUAACUGCGUCUGUGCAAUCACUACUGGCAGCUGAGAUGAGGUGUAGAAUGUUGACAAAAAGCUCACAUCCAGGCAGCAAGUUGAUGUUCAAGCACUGGACAAAAUGUCUACAUGAAACAUUUCUCCGUUACAUCAGCCCAGGUGUUUUCCAGUUGGAGUACGUGUGUGUUUUGUGUAACUGCUGCUCUCAUAACUCGGUGUACCCGUGGAAAGGGAUUGUCCUUGGCAUUCCUGUUUGAACUAUAAACCUCGCUAUUUAAUACAAUGCUAUUAAAGUGUUUGAUAUCUGUUCUAGUAAUAAAGUUGUGACUGAUCUUA
Bombina bombina (fire-bellied toad) is the source of this 817-nucleotide long non-coding RNA. RefSeq lists it as uncharacterized. Lineage: Eukaryota; Metazoa; Chordata; Amphibia; Anura; Bombinatoridae. The record is from RefSeq and is a predicted model, not a curated record. The transcript has 7 exons.